RNAcentral lists this unclassified non-coding RNA (298 nucleotides) under plant metagenome. Its description in RNAcentral is "partial contains small subunit ribosomal RNA and internal transcribed spacer 1". The stretch from base 1 to 46 matches the Rfam family "Eukaryotic small subunit ribosomal RNA", at positions 1786 to 1831 of the family's 1831-position model. The record is from RNAcentral.
AAGUCGUAACAAGGUUUCCGUAGGUGAACCUGCGGAAGGAUCAUUAUUAAAAGUCAAUGAGUGCACUUAAUUGUGGCUCAGAAACCUUUAUAAAUCUUUUCACCCAUUAACCCAAAGCUGUCUUGUGUUCCCUUAUAUUUGUAUAAGGGUAAUAGCAAUUCAGUAGUACGCAUCAUGGAAAUUGCCUUUAUUGGAAUGUUCAAGUUGCAUUAACCCCCCCUUAUCAGUGACCCCCAUUUUUUUUUAUUAACACUAAAAUAAGUUUUAAGAAUGUAAACCCCCUUUAAAUUAAAUAUAA